RNAcentral lists this ribosomal RNA (254 nucleotides) under uncultured prokaryote. RNAcentral's name for it is "partial 16S ribosomal RNA". It matches the Rfam family "Bacterial small subunit ribosomal RNA", at positions 525 to 777 of the family's 1533-position model. The record is from RNAcentral.
ACGUAGGGUGCAAGCGUUGUCCGGAAUUAUUGGGCGUAAAGAGCUCGUAGGCGGUUUGUUGCGUCGGCUGUGAAAUCCCGAGGCUCAACCUCGGGUCUGCAGUCGAUACGAGCAAACUAGAGUGUUGCAGGGGAGACUGGAAUUCCUGGUGUAGCGGUGGAAUGCGUAGAGAUCCGGAAGAACACCGGUGGCGAAGGCGGCCUGCUGGGCAGUUAGCUGACGCUGAGGCGCGACAGCGUGGGGAGCAAACAGGA